CCCCCCAGCCCCGAAGGCUUCUGGCGACACCGCUGCAGUGGUCCUCAGUAGCUGAUGUCAUAAGAUCAUGAGCUUCAUCAUCACUGUCAUUGAUGUCUGAUGGCUUUUUUUGAUAAUAACAUGACCCACCUGCCGGUGUAAUGAGGUGUGGCCCCCAGUGUCACCCACCCAGUGUCACCCACCCAGUGGCUUUGAGACGCAGGUUUUGAAUCCCACACUUUGCGAUUCUUUAGCAUUCAGCUGGUUUUGCGUUGCUUCAACGCUGCAUUAAAAUCAGUCCGAACGAAGAGAUUUCCUGAAGGUUCUAGGUUAAAGUGAGGUUGAGCUGGAGUCCCCACAAUGAGAAGGGCCAUUGUCUCCCUGCCGGUUUAACGAAGAUGGAUUUCGUGAUUAAGCGGCCGGCGCAAUAAAGACAGCGGGGAUGACCUUCUGUGCCCCAGCGGCUGAAUGAAAACAAUUAUCGAGCUAAAAAGCUCGAGUCAAGCAGUCUGACGUUACCUUUGUGAUUCUGCAUCAUCUCUGUGCAUCUAUUUCAGAAAGUUAGUUCUCCAUCUGCCGCCUUUACCUGUCUGCCUUCCCAGUGACCUGCACACUGGGAGAUGCGGGCGGAUAAAGAAGAAUGAACAAAUCUAUGAGGAACAGAUCUUUUGGCCCCGUUACCCAGAGUCCCCUGGGAUUUCAUUCAGCAGAAACCUUUGCUCAAGAAUCUGGUUCCUAACAUGUGUCACCUUGCUACCCUCAUUUUUUAGAAUUUAUUGAGUGUAUAGUACCAUUCAUAUAAUAAUGUUAUUUAGCUACAGGACCUUUAAUAGACUUAAAUAUCAGUCAUUAUUUGUCAUUUCCUUGGACAUUUUCCACUGUAAUUAUGCUCCUUAAUGAAUGGUAUGGCCAUAGAAACUCUCUUUCAGCACCAAUUCCCUCAGCGGCCAGAUGGAAGGUUUCUCUGAGUUGGAUUAUUACUACAUGUAUAUAGUCAACAAUGACUGCUGGCUCACUGCUGAUAGACUGUAACAGUACCUUUAAUUUUCCGUAAUGACGAGGUCCAAAUUAAAGCGGCGGUCCCCAGCCACCGCUGCCUCAGUGUUUUGUAAACAGACGCACAAAGGCCAUUCGCUGGUGUUCUGGGAACCAGCCAUGAGACGUUAGGUUUCUCUGGUUUCUGUGAUGACGGCAGGUGGGUCGUAGCGGACAGGUCAAGGCCCGGCACCCCCCUUCCAGCCCAGACAUAAUGGAAGCCAGAACUUGGACAGUGAGGGUGGGAGGGAAAACCCCUCCCAGGACCAGGACCUUAUGUCUGAAAGAGCCCUACGGUGGCCCUUUGGUUAAAAGGGUGGGUUAGUACCAUCCUGGGGGUGUCCUACUGGUAUUGUGCUGCAAAGGACUCAAAUUAA
Long non-coding RNA from Paramormyrops kingsleyae, 1391 nucleotides. RefSeq lists it as uncharacterized. NCBI's taxonomy places the organism in Eukaryota, Metazoa, Chordata, Actinopteri, Osteoglossiformes, Mormyridae. The record is from RefSeq and is a predicted model, not a curated record.